UACAGAGGUCCCGAGCGUUGUUCGGAUUCACUGGGCGUAAAGGGUGCGUAGGUGGCGUGGUAAGUUUGAUGUGAAAGCUCAGGGCUUAACCCUGAAAUGGCAUUGAAUACUACUGUGCUGGAGGUUUGGAGGGGGGACUGGAAUUCUUGGUGUAGCAGUGAAAUGCGUAGAUAUCAAGCGGAACACCAGUGGCGAAGGCGAGUCCCUGGACAACUCCUGACACUGAGGCACGAAAGCUAGGGGAGCAAACAGG
RNAcentral lists this ribosomal RNA (253 nucleotides) under uncultured bacterium. RNAcentral's name for it is "partial 16S ribosomal RNA". It matches the Rfam family "Bacterial small subunit ribosomal RNA", at positions 524 to 776 of the family's 1533-position model. The record is from RNAcentral.